RNAcentral lists this ribosomal RNA (494 nucleotides) under uncultured bacterium. RNAcentral describes it as "partial 16S ribosomal RNA". It matches the Rfam family "Bacterial small subunit ribosomal RNA", at positions 28 to 507 of the family's 1533-position model. The record is from RNAcentral.
GACGAACGCUGGCGGCGUGCUUAACACAUGCAAGUCGAACGGUGAAGCGCCUUCCUUUUUGGUGGGUGUGGAUGAGUGGCGAACGGGUGAGUAACACGUGAGUAACCUGCCCCCUUCUUCUGGAUAACCGCAUGAAAGUGUGGCUAAUACGGGAUAUUCUGGGUCUGUCGCAUGAUGGGUCUGGGAAAGAUAUUGUUUCGGUGGGGGAUGGGCUCGCGGCCUAUCAGCUUGUUGGUGGGGUGAUGGCCUACCAAGGCGGUGGCGGGUAGCCGGCCUGAGAGGGUGGACGGUCACACUGGGACUGAGACACGGCCCAGACUCCUACGGGAGGCAGCAGUGGGGAAUAUUGCACAAUGGGCGCAAGCCUGAUGCAGCGACGCCGCGUGAGGGAUGGAGGCCUUCGGGUUGUGAACCUCUUUCGCCAGUGAAGCAGGCCUGCCUCGUUUGUGGGUGGGUUGACGGUAGCUGGAUAAGAAGCGCCGGCUAACUACGUG